RNAcentral lists this ribosomal RNA (66 nucleotides) under Escherichia coli. The record is from RNAcentral. Lineage: Bacteria; Pseudomonadati; Pseudomonadota; Gammaproteobacteria; Enterobacterales; Enterobacteriaceae. RNAcentral also lists the same sequence under 9 other names.
CCUGGCGGCCUUAGCGCGGUGGUCCCACCUGACCCCAUGCCGAACUCAGAAGUGAAACGCCGUAGC